This 305-nucleotide ribosomal RNA is filed under the name uncultured bacterium. RNAcentral's name for it is "bacterial SSU rRNA". It matches the Rfam family "Bacterial small subunit ribosomal RNA", at positions 334 to 631 of the family's 1533-position model. The record is from RNAcentral.
AAGUCCUACGGGGGGCAGCAGUAGGGAAUCUUCCACAAUGGGCGAAAGCCUGAUAGAGCAAAGCCGCGUGGGUGAAGAAGGUAUUGGGAUCGUAAAACCCUGUUGUUAGAGGAGAAAGUGCGUGAGAGUAACUGUUCACGUUUCGACGGUAUCUAACCAGAAAGCCACGGCUAACUACGUGCCAGCAGCCGCGGUAAUACGUAGGUGGCAAGCGUUAUCAGGAUUUAUUGGGCGUAAAGGGAAGGCAGGCGGUCUUUUAAGUCUGAUGGGAAAGCUGUCGGCUUAACCGGAGUAGUGCAUUGGAA